This 528-nucleotide ribosomal RNA is filed under the name uncultured bacterium. Its description in RNAcentral is "bacterial SSU rRNA". It matches the Rfam family "Bacterial small subunit ribosomal RNA", at positions 777 to 1304 of the family's 1533-position model. The record is from RNAcentral.
AAUAGAUACCCAGGUAGUCCACGCUGUAAACGUUGGGCGCUAGGUGUGGGGGGCCUCUCCGGUUCCCUGUGCCGCAGCUAACGCAUUAAGCGCCCCGCCUGGGGAGUACGGCCGCAAGGCUAAAACUCAAAGGAAUUGACGGGGGGCCCGCACAAGCGGCGGAGCAUGCGGAUUAAUUCGAUGCAACGCGAAGAACCUUACCUGGGUUUGACAUGGCCGCAAAACCUGCAGAGAUGUGGGGUCCUUCGGGGGCGGUCACAGGUGGUGCAUGGCUGUCGUCAGCUCGUGUCGUGAGAUGUUGGGUUAAGUCCCGCAACGAGCGCAACCCUCGUUCGAUGUUGCCAGCGCGUUAUGGCGGGGACUCAUCGAAGACUGCCGGGGUCAACUCGGAGGAAGGUGGGGAUGACGUCAAGUCAUCAUGCCCCUUAUGUCCAGGGCUUCACGCAUGCUACAAUGGCCGGUACAAUGGGCUGCGAUACCGUGAGGUGGAGCGAAUCCCAAAAAGCCGGUCUCAGUUCGGAUCGGGGU